GAUGAACGCUGGCGGCGUGCUUAACACAUGCAGGUCGAACGAUGAAGCCCAGCUUGCUGGGUGGAUUAGUGGCGAACGGGUGAGUAACACGUGAGUAACCUGCCCUUAACUCUGGGAUAAGCCUGGGAAACUGGGUCUAAUACCGGAUAGGAGCGUCCACCGCAUGGUGGGUGGUGGGAAGAUUUAUCGGUUUUGGAUGGACUCGCGGCCUAUCAGCUUGUUGGUGAGGUAAUGGCUCACCAAGGCGACGACGGGUAGCCGGCCUGAGAGGGUGACCGGCCACACUGGGACUGAGACACGGCCCAGACUCCUACGGGAGGCAGCAGUGGGGAAUAUUGCACAAUGGGCGCAAGCCUGAUGCAGCGACGCCGCGUGAGGGAUGACGGCCUUCGGGUUGUAAACCUCUUUCAGUAGGGAAGAAGCGAAAGUGACGGUACCUGCAGAAGAAGCACCGGCUAACUACGUG
RNAcentral lists this ribosomal RNA (466 nucleotides) under uncultured bacterium. Its description in RNAcentral is "partial 16S ribosomal RNA". It matches the Rfam family "Bacterial small subunit ribosomal RNA", at positions 28 to 507 of the family's 1533-position model. The record is from RNAcentral.